This is a microRNA precursor of Chlorocebus sabaeus (green monkey), 97 nucleotides long. The record is from Ensembl. Lineage: Eukaryota; Metazoa; Chordata; Mammalia; Primates; Cercopithecidae.
CUACUAAGUUGGUGCAAAAGUAACUGCGGAUUUUGCCAUUAAAAGCAAUGGUAAAAACCACAAUUACUUUGUAUAAUCCUAACACUGUACUCCAGCU